Molecule: ribosomal RNA, 403 nt
Filed under: uncultured prokaryote
Description: bacterial SSU rRNA
Rfam family: Bacterial small subunit ribosomal RNA
Source: RNAcentral
UGAGGAAUCUUCCACAAUGGGCGAAAGCCUGAUGGAGCAACGCCGCGUGCAGGAUGAAGGCCUUCGGGUCGUAAACUGCUUUUAUUAGUGAGGAAUAUGACGGUAACUAAUGAAUAAGGGUCGGCUAACUACGUGACAGCAGCCGCGGUCAUACGGAGGACCCAAGCGUUAUCCGGAGUGACUGGGCGUAAAGAGUUGCGUAGGUGGUUUAUUAAGCGAGUAGUGAAAUCUAACGGCUCAACCGUUAGGCUAUUGCUCGAACUGAUAAACUCGAGAAUGGUAGAGGUAACUGGAAUUUCUAGUGUAGGAGUGGAAUCCGUAGAUAUUAGAAGGAACACCAAUGGCGUAGGCAGGUUACUGGACCAUUUCUGACACUGAGGCACGAAAGCGUGGGGAGCGAACC